This 790-nucleotide ribosomal RNA is filed under the name uncultured bacterium. RNAcentral describes it as "bacterial SSU rRNA". It matches the Rfam family "Bacterial small subunit ribosomal RNA", at positions 83 to 850 of the family's 1533-position model. The record is from RNAcentral.
AAUCCGAGUAGAGCGGCGCACGGGUGCGUAACACGUGGAUAAUCUGCCCUUGAAUUCGGGAUAACCUUCCGAAAGGUUGGCUAAUACCGGGUAAGCUCACGGUGACUUCGGUCGCUGUGGGAAAAGUAGACCUCUGUUUACAAGUUUACGUUUGAGGAUGAGUCCGCGGCCCAUCAGCUAGUUGGCGGGGUAAUGGCCCACCAAGGCUACGACGGGUAGCUGGUCUGAGAGGACGAUCAGCCACACUGGAACUGAGACACGGUCCAGACUCCUACGGGAGGCAGCAGUGGGGAAUUUUCCACAAUGGGCGAAAGCCUGAUGGAGCAACGCCGCGUGUGUGAUGAAGGUCUUCGGGUCGUAAAGCACUUUCGACCGGGACGAAAAACCUCUGGCUAACAUCCAGGGGCCUGACGGUACCGGGAGAAGAAGUACCGGCUAACUCUGUGCCAGCAGCCGCGGUAAUACAGAGGGUGCAAGCGUUGUUCGGAAUUAUUGGGCGUAAAGCGCGUGUAGGCGGCUUGGCAAGUCAGAUGUGAAAGCCCAUGGCUUAACCAUGGAAGUGCGUCUGAAACUGCUGAGCUUGAGUGCCGGAGAGGAUGGCGGAAUUCCGCAAGUAGAGGUGAAAUUCGUAGAUAUGCGGAGGAACACCGGUGGCGAAGGCGGCCAUCUGGACGGCAACUGACGCUGAGACGCGAAAGCGUGGGGAGCAAACAGGAUUAGAUACCCUGGUAGUCCACGCUGUAAACGAUGAGAACUAGGUGUCGUGGGUGUUGACCCCCGCGGUGCCGUA